GUCUACGGCCAUACUACCCUGAACACGCCCGAUCUCGUCUGAUCUCGGAAGCUAAGCAGGGUCAGGCCUGGUUAGUACUUGGAUGGGAGACCNCCUGGGAAUACCGGGUGCUGUAGGCU
RNAcentral lists this ribosomal RNA (119 nucleotides) under Ophiophagus hannah (king cobra). The record is from RNAcentral. Lineage: Eukaryota; Metazoa; Chordata; Lepidosauria; Squamata; Elapidae.